GGAUUAGAUACCCUGGUAGUCCACGCCGUAAACGAUGUCUACUAGCGGCUCGCCUCGUUAGAGGGGUUUUGCGCAGCUAACGCGUUAAGUAGACCGCCUGGGGAGUACGGCCGCAAGGUUAAAACUCAAAUGAAUUGACGGGGGCCCGCACAAGCGGUGGAGCAUGUGGUUUAAUUCGAUGCAACGCGAAGAACCUUACCAUCCCUUGACAUCCAGAGAAUUUUCUAGAGAUAGAUUAGUGCCUUCGGGAACUCUGAGACAGGUGCUGCAUGGCUGUCGUCAGCUCGUGUUG
This 292-nucleotide ribosomal RNA is filed under the name uncultured bacterium. RNAcentral describes it as "partial 16S ribosomal RNA". It matches the Rfam family "Bacterial small subunit ribosomal RNA", at positions 775 to 1067 of the family's 1533-position model. The record is from RNAcentral.